CUUCUAGAAGAUUGCGGCUGGAUCACCUCCUUUCUAAGGAUGGCUCUUCAGCCUGGUCUUUAAGGUCGCAAGAUCUUGGGACCACGAUCUUCGGAUCGCGCGCUAUCGAGCUGUUUUAGAAACAUCAGGGGCCACCGAGACCGCCAGGUCUUGGAUGAGCUCCAUUGGCGGGAUUUCGCCGUCUUCGUUUCUCUUUCUUCGCGGACGAACACGCUGCCUGGGGCUGCGCGGUUGCUGCUUGGCCUUUGCGGGUUUGACCUGCGCGGGCAGGGUGGUGACGAGCUUCGAGCGUUAGGGGCUUGUAGCUCAGUUGGUUAGAGCGCGCGCUUGAUAAGCGUGAGGUCGGAAGUUCAAGUCUUCCCAGGCCCACCACGCUUCGCCUGCGGCUACGCGUGGCGCGGCCUCGCUCUUCAAUGAGCGAAGCGUGCCCGGCGAAGCCACUUGGCGAAGACGGGCAGCCGUCGGUCAACAUCGUCUCGACGAUCAGCUCAUUGCAUUCGUCUUUCCGGGUAUGGGGCCUUAGCUCAGCUGGGAGAGCGCGUGCUUUGCAAGCAUGAGGUCGUCGGUUCGAUCCCGACAGGCUCCACCACGCUUCGCCCUUCGGGCUACGCGUGGCGCGGCCAGGGGUUGAACGAGCUGGAUCAUCCACGCAGGAGCCGAANGGCGGAGCGUGGUGCCCGGCGAAGCCACUUGGCGAAGACGGGCUGCUGCCCCUUGCGUGUUCAAUUCGUCCGCGAGACAACAUUUCGCAUCUUCUGGUCCUCACCGGGAUUACAGAAGACUGCGUGUUAUCUGACAUCGUGAAGAGGAGAUCGAUCCGAGUAGGGUCGUGCAAUGAAGGGCCACCGCGCAAGCGGUCCGCUCGUCGACUUUGCACCGACGCCUUCACUAUCUCCGGGUCAUUUCGGCGCAAACAUCGAGCUGUGAAGCUUGUCGUUUGUUGUAAAUGACUCUGUUAGCUGCGCUUGACCGCACGGCUAUCGGUUCGAUCUUAAGAAGCAAGCUGGUCUUUCUAAUCAGUGUCCGCGCUGCUCNANCCCUUGUCCUUCGGGACAGGUGRGAGCGGUGAACAUUCUGCCGAGUGUGUGGACAUUGAUAAUGAGAGCAAUCAAGUGCCUUAAG
Molecule: transfer RNA, 1122 nt
Filed under: Bradyrhizobium oligotrophicum S58
Lineage: Bacteria; Pseudomonadati; Pseudomonadota; Alphaproteobacteria; Hyphomicrobiales; Nitrobacteraceae
Description: partial contains 16S ribosomal RNA, 16S-23S ribosomal RNA intergenic spacer, and 23S ribosomal RNA
Rfam family: tRNA (bases 296-369)
Source: RNAcentral